This 467-nucleotide ribosomal RNA is filed under the name uncultured bacterium. RNAcentral describes it as "partial 16S ribosomal RNA". It matches the Rfam family "Bacterial small subunit ribosomal RNA", at positions 28 to 506 of the family's 1533-position model. The record is from RNAcentral.
GACGAACGCUGGCGGCGUGCUUAACACAUGCAAGUCGAACGGAAAGGCCCUGCUUUUGUGGGGUGCUCGAGUGGCGAACGGGUGAGUAACACGUGAGUAACCUGCCCUUGACUUUGGGAUAACUUCAGGAAACUGGGGCUAAUACCGGAUAGGAGCUCCUGCUGCAUGGUGGGGGUUGGAAAGUUUCGGCGGUUGGGGAUGGACUCGCGGCUUAUCAGCUUGUUGGUGGGGUAGUGGCUUACCAAGGCUUUGACGGGUAGCCGGCCUGAGAGGGUGACCGGCCACAUGGGGAGUGAGAUACGGCCCAGACCCCUAGGGGGGGGAGGGGGGGGGAAAUUUGCAAAAGGGGGGGAAGCCGGAUGCGGAAACGCCGCGUGGGGAAGAAGGGCUUUGGGGUUGAAAACCGCUUUCGCCUGGGAGGAGGGGGGAGGACGGGAAAUGGGAAAAAAGGCCCGGGUAAAUUACGU